GCGGCUGAGGCCCCUGGCGCGUGCGGCUCGUAUAGCAGGCCGCUCGGCUUGCAGCGCCAUCACGCAGAGGUCAGAGGUGACGCGCGGCAGGGGCCAAACCGCCGAGGUAAGCCUGGCUCGCCAAGUUGCUACAGUCCGACGACUCUCCAUGCUCAGGGUCACUCUGCUUCACUGUCGAUCUACGAUCGGUCAUGGUGUACUCGCGCGCUACACUCCAUUCAGGUACAUUUUCUGCCCACUACUCCACCCAUGCUAAUACAAAUCUUACGGGGAAGAAAGUGAGGAGAAGCAAUUUCAGCGCAUGAUCCAUCUGCAGCCGUGAAUUACUAGUAACAUUAUUCUCUGUUAUCAUAACAGUUCGGUACUACACGUCUACACUACACAUCGCUCACGGAAGAAAAACUUAAAAACUCAGUAGGCAGUAGCCAGGAUUCAGGCCCGGACACAAGCAUCUCUGAUCGCCCGCAGCUCGGUGGCGGCAUCCCUCAUGCUCAUCCUCUCGUACUGCGCCGCUCUCGUGCAGCUAAGCCCGACCCUGACGGCAGAGACCAGGCAAUCCUGCACCGAGACGCCACUAUCACCGUUGGAUUCCUUGGUCGCCAGCAGCGUCGGGUCGAGGACCUCCUCUGUUUUGUCGGGAAAAGCCGCGCUGAUGAACCCUGGCAGAGUCAGUCCAUCCCUGAAGAUGUCGUCCGUCGGCAACCUCCCGGAAAAGAUCUCCAGCAGCGUGAUGCCGAAGCUGUAGACGUCGCCUUGUGUCGAAACUUUGCCGGUCGUUCCAUAUUCUGGAGUGCAAUGUACAGAUAAGUUAUUCUUUUUCAUACCUGCAAAGUUAUUCUA
Molecule: long non-coding RNA, 840 nt
Organism: Triticum aestivum (bread wheat)
Lineage: Eukaryota; Viridiplantae; Streptophyta; Magnoliopsida; Poales; Poaceae
Exons: 2
Source: RefSeq, a predicted model, not a curated record